This 727-nucleotide ribosomal RNA is filed under the name uncultured Chroococcidiopsis sp. RNAcentral describes it as "bacterial SSU rRNA". It matches the Rfam family "Bacterial small subunit ribosomal RNA", at positions 39 to 809 of the family's 1533-position model. The record is from RNAcentral. Lineage: Bacteria; Bacillati; Cyanobacteriota; Cyanophyceae; Chroococcidiopsidales; Chroococcidiopsidaceae.
GCGGUAUGCCUAACACAUGCAAGUCGAUCGAGCUUAUUUAUAGCUAGUGGCGGGACGGGUGAGUAACGCGUAGAAUCUGCCAAUUGGAUGGGGAUAACAGGGAGAAAUCGCUGCUAAAACCCAAUGUGCCUAUGGGUGAAAUAUUUAUAGCCCAUUGAGGAGCUCGCGUCCGAUUAGUUAGUUGGUGGGGUAAGAGCCUACCAAGGCAGCGAUCGGUAGCUGGUCUGAGAGGAUGAGCAGCCACACUGGGACUGAGACACGGCCCAGACUCCUACGGGAGGCAGCAGUGGGGAAUUUUCCGCAAUGGGCGAAAGCCUGACGGAGCAAUACCGCGUGAGGGAGGAAGGCUUUUGGGUUGUAAACCUCUUUUGUUAAGGAAGAAGCAAGUGACGGUACUUAACGAAUCAGCAUCGGCUAACUCCGUGCCAGCAGCCGCGGUAAUACGGAGGAUGCAAGCGUUAUCCGGAAUCAUUGGGCGUAAAGCGUCCGCAGGUGGUUAUUCAAGUCUGCUGUUAAAGACAGAAGCUCAACUUCUGGUCGGCGGUGGAAACUGGGUAACUAGAGUACGGUAGGGGUUGAGGGAAUUCCCAGUGUAGCGGUGAAAUGCGUAGAGAUUGGGAAGAACCCCAGUGGCGAAGGCGCUCAUCUGGGCCGUAACUGACACUCAGGGUCGAAAGCUAGGGUAGCCAAAGGGAUUAGAUACCCCUGUAGUCCUAGCUGUAAACGA